UGUCCUUCAAGACCUUCCCUCUGUAAUUGCAUGUGGCAGCCUCUUUAGAGCUAGGUGCCGACUGCUGCUCCAAAACAGAAACAAAAAAUAACAGGCAAGAAAGGGCAUUGCAGCAAGUCCUUAGGAGGGGUGUUGCUCCUUUGUUUCACGGUGGGGUCAGUAAAGGGGGAGGUAGGAAAUGCCAUUUAGCUCAGGGGCACUGCUGUUUGUCUUUGUGACCGAGCGUGGGCCAGCACUCAGCAGCUCAACCCCCAUAACAACUCUCCUUCCUUGAGCUUCCACUCAAAACCCUGACCCUGGAGGCAGCACAGCUGAGCAAGCAAAGGGCAUUUGCUGCCCUGCCUUACCUGGCUGCCUGCUUAGCAAAACCGGCCUUGAGGCCCAGCCGUGAGGGGCCAGGGGCCUCGUUCCAGGGGGAUUGGCAGCAGCGUGGAGCUGAUCCCCCGUCACUGUAAUAUCCUGGGCUGGGGGGGAGCCAGUGCUGAGCAAAGAGCCCCCUGCAGCUGGGGAGGGACUGCUGCCCUCAACAGGAGCCCAGCACGGAGCAGCAAAGGCUCGUCCUGCCUCUGGCACCAGCGCUGAGGGAGGUGGGCUGCGUGUGGGGAACGCAGAGCAGCGCUGGCCUGCCCUUGUGGCCUCUGCACCGUGCUCAGACAAGCUCAGACUUUCCCAGGAAGCCUCUGCCAAUUCCAUGGAGUGCGGGUCAGACCCCACAUUAUUACUGUCACAGCUCUUGUGGAUUUUGGGAGAUUUAGCCCAAGAAAGAACUUUGUGAGCGCAAGCACUUCAAUGGCUGGUGACUGGAAAAGGGACUUGGAUUUUUCCCCUCUGAGGACAAUAAUCUCCUGUUGAAGUACUGUGGUUGAAGAUUUAUUUUUGCUUUUGAAGAUAAAUGACCAUUUGGAAUGGAUGUUAUUCACUGAAAGUUAGGAAAUAACAGUUUAUACUGAAACCAAAGGAAUAUUGUCUUUGUUUUGAUUGACUCAUAUGACAAAACAUGAGUUUUCCAGUGGUAGGGCCAAUGCCUAUUUUUUUUUUUUCCUGGCAUUUUUUUGCUGUUAUUGUUGUUUUGUUUCAAUAAAAAGAAUUUGGAUUCAUUAA
Parus major (Great Tit) is the source of this 1101-nucleotide long non-coding RNA. RefSeq lists it as uncharacterized. Lineage: Eukaryota; Metazoa; Chordata; Aves; Passeriformes; Paridae. The record is from RefSeq and is a predicted model, not a curated record. The transcript has 3 exons.